GACGAACGCUGGCGGCGUGCUUAACACAUGCAAGUCGAACGGUGAACGAGGGAGCUUGCUCCCUCCGGAUCAGUGGCGAACGGGUGAGUAACACGUGAGCAAUCUGCCCCGAACUCUGGGAUAAGCGUUGGAAACGACGUCUAAUACCGGAUACGACGCGGGAGGGCAUCCUCUCCGCGUGGAAAGAACUUCGGUUCGGGAUGAGCUCGCGGCCUAUCAGCUUGAUGGUGAGGUAACGGCUCACCAAGGCGACGACGGGUAGCCGGCCUGAGAGGGUGACCGGCCACACUGGGACUGAGACACGGCCCAGACUCCUACGGGAGGCAGCAGUGGGGAAUAUUGCACAAUGGGCGCAAGCCUGAUGCAGCAACGCCGCGUGAGGGACGACGGCCUUCGGGUUGUAAACCUCUUUUAGCAGGGAAGAAGCGAAAGUGACGGUACCUGCAGAAAAAGCACCGGCUAACUACGUG
Molecule: ribosomal RNA, 470 nt
Filed under: uncultured bacterium
Lineage: Bacteria
Description: partial 16S ribosomal RNA
Rfam family: Bacterial small subunit ribosomal RNA
Source: RNAcentral